RNAcentral lists this transfer RNA (72 nucleotides) under Hungateiclostridiaceae bacterium KB18. RNAcentral's name for it is "Ruminiclostridium sp. KB18 tRNA". It matches the Rfam family "tRNA". From Rfam's summary of the family: Transfer RNA (tRNA) molecules are approximately 80 nucleotides in length. Their secondary structure includes four short double-helical elements and three loops (D, anti-codon, and T loops). Further hydrogen bonds mediate the characteristic L-shaped molecular structure. tRNAs have two regions of fundamental functional importance: the anti-codon, which is responsible for specific mRNA codon recognition, and the 3' end, to which the tRNAs corresponding amino acid is attached (by aminoacyl-tRNA synthetases). tRNAs cope with the degeneracy of the genetic code in two manners: having more than one tRNA (with a specific anti-codon) for a particular amino acid; and 'wobble' base-pairing, i.e. permitting non-standard base-pairing at the 3rd anti-codon position. Lineage: Bacteria; Bacillati; Bacillota; Clostridia; Eubacteriales; Oscillospiraceae. The record is from Rfam by way of RNAcentral.
GGCCCGUUGGUCAAGCGGCUAAGACGAAGGCCUCUCACGCCUUAAACGUGGGUUCGAUUCCCGCACGGGUCA